AUCUAGUUUACGAGUCCCAAAUAGGACGAAAUAUGCGUCCUGGAU
Molecule: non-coding RNA, 45 nt
Filed under: Schistosoma margrebowiei
Lineage: Eukaryota; Metazoa; Platyhelminthes; Trematoda; Strigeidida; Schistosomatidae
Source: RNAcentral